GUAACAAGGUUUCCGUAGGUGAACCUGCGGAAGGAUCAUUACUGAUUUGCUUAAUUGCACCACAUGUGUUUUUUAUUGAACAAAUUUCUUUGGUGGCGGGAGCAAUCCUACCGCCAGAGGUUAUAACUAAACCAAACUUUUUAUUUACAGUCAAACUUGAUUUAUUAUUACAAUAGUCAAAACUUUCAACAACGGAUCUCUUGGUUCUCGCAUCGAUGAAGAACGCAGCGAAAUGCGAUACGUAAUAUGAAUUGCAGAUAUUCGUGAAUCAUCGAAUCUUUGAACGCACAUUGCGCCCUUUGGUAUUCCAAAGGGCAUGCCUGUUUGAGCGUCAUUUCUCCCUCAAACCCCCGGGUUUGGUGUUGAGCAAUACGCUAGGUUUGUUUGAAAGAAUUUAACGUGGAAACUUAUUUUAAGCGACUUAGGUUUAUCCAAAAACGCUUAUUUUGCUAGUGGCCACCACAAUUUAUUUCAUAACUUUGACCUCAAAUCAGGUAGGACUACCCGCUGAACUUAAGCAUAUCAAUAAGCGGAGGAA
This 538-nucleotide ribosomal RNA is filed under the name Candida tropicalis. RNAcentral's name for it is "eukaryotic LSU rRNA". The stretch from base 181 to 334 matches the Rfam family "5.8S ribosomal RNA". The record is from RNAcentral. Lineage: Eukaryota; Fungi; Ascomycota; Pichiomycetes; Serinales; Debaryomycetaceae.